Molecule: long non-coding RNA, 737 nt
Filed under: Homo sapiens (human)
Lineage: Eukaryota; Metazoa; Chordata; Mammalia; Primates; Hominidae
Description: HSALNT0038578
Source: RNAcentral
AAUCAGCGAGACUCCGUGGGCGUAGGACCCUCCGAGCCAGGUGCGGGAUAUGAUCUCGUGGUGCACCGUUUUUUUAAGCCCGUCGGAAACGCGCAGUAUUCGGGUGGGAGUGACCCGAUUUUCCAGGUGCCGUCCGUCACCCGUUUCUUUGACUCAGACAGGGAACUCCCUGACCCCUUGCGCUUCCCAAGUGAGGCAAUGCCUCGCCCUGCUUGGGCUCGCGCAUGGUGCGCUCACCCACUGACCUGCACCCACUGUCUGGCACUCCCUAGUGAGAUGAACCCGGUACCUCAGAUGGAAAUGCUGAAAUCACCCGUCUUCUUCGUUGCUCACGCUGGGAGCUGUAGACAGGAGCUGUUCAUAUUCGGCCAUCUUGGCUCCUCCCCGCACCAAUAGGUGACGGAAGGUGAGGAGAGAGCACUGAGACCAAGCAAAUGGAGGCACUCAGGGAAUGAGAGGCUAAAGAUGAGAAGUGUGGCUCCGCGUCCAUCAUGGUCUUAGGUUCCCUUCCUCUGCCCAAGUCCCAUCACAAGUGCAGAAUCACUGCAGUUGGAUUAACUGGACCCAGCCACAGCUGAGUAUUAAAUGAAAUCAUAUGUGGCUUUGGUUCCUUGAGUACUAACGUGGCAACAUCAGCUGAUUUUUUUUCCCUGAAGAGUCUUCCCAUUGCUUCCUCCCAGCGCUGCAUCUGUGACGUGGUGUCCAGACUUCCUCCUGGACACGUGUCGAGAAUGCCU